Molecule: transfer RNA, 71 nt
Filed under: Marmota monax (woodchuck)
Lineage: Eukaryota; Metazoa; Chordata; Mammalia; Rodentia; Sciuridae
Description: tRNA.Ala
Rfam family: tRNA
About the family: Transfer RNA (tRNA) molecules are approximately 80 nucleotides in length.
Source: RNAcentral
GGGGUUGUGGCUCAGCAGUAGAGUGCUCCCCUAGCAUGGGCAAGGCCCUGGGUUCGAUCCCCAGCACCACA